Molecule: ribosomal RNA, 926 nt
Filed under: uncultured Ascomycota
Lineage: Eukaryota; Fungi; Ascomycota
Description: eukaryotic LSU rRNA
Rfam family: Eukaryotic large subunit ribosomal RNA (bases 278-926)
Source: RNAcentral
AUCGAUGAAGAACGCAGCGAAAUGCGAUAAGUAAUGUGAAUUGCAGAAUUCAGUGAAUCAUCGAAUCUUUGAACGCACAUUGCGCCCUUUGGUAUUCCGAAGGGCAUGCCUGUUCGAGCGUCAUUAUAACCACUCAAGCUCUCGCUUGGUAUUGGGGUUCGCGGCUUCGCGGCUCCUAAAAUCAGUGGCGGUGCCUGUCGGCUCUACGCGUAGUAAUACUCCUCGCGUCUGGGUCCGGUAGGUUGCUUGCCAACAACCCCCAAUUUUUUUUACAGGUUGACCUCGGAUCAGGUAGGGAUACCCGCUGAACUUAAGCAUAUCAAUAAGCGGAGGAAAAGAAACCAACAGGGAUUACCUCAGUAACGGCGAGUGAAGCGGUAACAGCUCAAAUUUGAAAGCUAGCUCUUUUAGGGUUCGCAUUGUAAUUUGUAGAAGAUGCUUCGGGUGUGGCCCCGGUCUAAGUUCCUUGGAACAGGACGUCAUAGAGGGUGAGAAUCCCGUAUGUGACUGGGUGCUUUCGCUCAUGUGAAGCUCUUUCGACGAGUCGAGUUGUUUGGGAAUGCAGCUCAAAAUGGGUGGUAAAUUUCAUCUAAAGCUAAAUAUUGGCCAGAGACCGAUAGCGCACAAGUAGAGUGAUCGAAAGAUGAAAAGCACUUUGGAAAGAGAGUUAAACAGUACGUGAAAUUGUUGAAAGGGAAGCGCUUGCAACCAGACUUGCGCGCUGAUGAUCAUCCGGGCUUCUGUCCGGUGCACUCGUCUGCGCUCAGGCCAGCAUCGGUUUCGGUGGUGGGAUAAAGGCCUUGGGAAUGUAGCUUCUUUCGGGGAGUGUUAUAGCCCUCGGUGCAAUGCCGCCUACCGGGACCGAGGACCGCGCUUCGGCUAGGAUGCUGGCGUAAUGGUUGUAAGCGACCCGUCUUGAAACACGG